AUGGCCAGAUCAGUGGCUGCGAUCUUGUUGGUGGCCGCGCUUGUGGUGGCCAUUGCUGUGCCGGCGGCCGGCAUGGAGUUCACCGACGAAGACGUCGGCUCGGAGGAGGCGUUGUUGGACCUCUACGAGCGCUGGUGCCACCUCCACCAGGUGGCACGCAGCCCCGCGGAGAAGGUGAGGCGCUUCUCCAUCUUCAAACACAACAUCCGGUUCAUCCAAGACUACAACCGGGGCGCGCCGCGCACCAAGCUCGGUCUCAACGUCUUCGCCGACUUGACCCACGACGAGCUGGGGGAGAUCCACGCUGGCUGCCACGAGCACCCUCCGGUAGUCCUCGUCCGCGACAUGCCUCAGCCCGCCAUCGACCUCAACGACCUCCCUCAGUACGUGGACUGGCGCGACAAAAACGCCGUCACGCGUCAAGGAUCAGGGGGACUGCGGCGCUUGCUGGGCUUUCGCAGCCAUUGGGGCUGUGGAGGGCAUCACCGCCAUCAGGACGGGAACGCUGGAGGAACUGUCGGCGCAGAUGUUAGUUGA
RNAcentral lists this ribosomal RNA (537 nucleotides) under Triticum aestivum (bread wheat). RNAcentral's name for it is "partial small subunit ribosomal RNA". Lineage: Eukaryota; Viridiplantae; Streptophyta; Magnoliopsida; Poales; Poaceae. The record is from RNAcentral.